GAUGAACGCUGGCGGCGUGCCUAAUACAUGCAAGUCGAACGCACAGCGAAAGGUGCUUGCACCUUUCAAGUGAGUGGCGAACGGGUGAGUAACGCGUGGAUAACCUACCUCAAGGUUGGGGAUAACAUUUGGAAACAGAUGCUAAUACCGAAUAAACUUCGAUCGCAUGAUACAAGGUUAAAGGCGCUACGGCGUCACCUAGAGAUGGAUCCGCGGUGCANAGUUAGUGGUGGGUAAGCCUACAGACAAUGAUGCAUAGCCGAGUUGAGAGACUGAUCGG
RNAcentral lists this ribosomal RNA (280 nucleotides) under uncultured bacterium. RNAcentral describes it as "partial 16S ribosomal RNA". It matches the Rfam family "Bacterial small subunit ribosomal RNA", at positions 28 to 307 of the family's 1533-position model. The record is from RNAcentral.